CUACGGGGGGCUCCAGUGAGGAAUAUUGCACAAUGGGGGGAACCCUGAUGCAGCAACGCCGCGUGGAGGAUGACGCAUUUCGGUGUGUAAACUCCUUUUAUAUGUCAAGAAAAUGACGGUAGCAUAUGAAUAAGCACCGGCUAGACUCCGUGCCAGCAGCCGCGGUAAUACGGAGGGUGCAAGCGUUACUCGGAAUCACUGGGCGUAAAGGACGCGUAGGCGGGUUGGAAAGUCAGGUGUGAAAUCCUACAGCUUAACUGUAGAACUGCACUUGAAACUUCUAAUCUAGAGUAUGGGAGGGGGAGAUGGAAUUAGUGGUGUAGGGGUAAAAUCCGUAGAUAUCACUAGGAAUACCUAAAGCGAAGGCGAUCUCCUGGAACAUUACUGACGCUAAGGCGUGAAAGCGUGGGGAGCAAACAGGAUUAGAUACCCGUGUAGUC
RNAcentral lists this ribosomal RNA (440 nucleotides) under uncultured bacterium. Its description in RNAcentral is "partial 16S ribosomal RNA". It matches the Rfam family "Bacterial small subunit ribosomal RNA", at positions 339 to 795 of the family's 1533-position model. The record is from RNAcentral.